GUCCACGCCUUAAACUAUGAAUACUAAGUGUCGGCGGUUUACCGCCGGUGCCGCAGCUAACGCAUUAAGUAUUCCGCCUGGGAAGUACGGCCGCAAUGUUGAAACUCAAAGGAAUUGACGGGGGCCCGCACAAGCGGUGGAGCAUGUGGUUUAAUUCGACGCAACGCGAAUAACCUUACCCAGGCUGGACAUGCAGGUAGUAGAAGGGUGAAAGCCCAACGAGGUAGCAAUACCAUCCUGCUCAGGUGCUGCAUGGCUGUCGU
This 263-nucleotide ribosomal RNA is filed under the name uncultured bacterium. RNAcentral describes it as "partial 16S ribosomal RNA". It matches the Rfam family "Bacterial small subunit ribosomal RNA", at positions 793 to 1055 of the family's 1533-position model. The record is from RNAcentral.